AGGUCCAUCAGAGCAGCAGCGGAACCAGUUGGAGGAGCUGAGGAAAUUUGGGGCUCAGUUUAAGCUCCAGCCCAGCAGCGCCCCCCAGGACCCCCCCCCAGAGCCCCUCCCCCCACCCCGCAGCGGCCCCUCCCCCCCCGGAGCCCCCCCCGAGGCCCAAGGGGGGGGUGGGGGAGGGGCGGGGGGAGGGGCCGGGACCCCCCCGGGGACCCCCCAGGACAAGGACGAGCAGGUGAAGAAGUCGACGCUGAACCCCAACGCGAAGGAGUUCAACCCCUCGAAGCCCCUUUUGGGCGUGGGCAAAGCCGCUGCCCCCCCCUCGCCGGGGCCCCGCCUCCACCCCUCCCCCACGCUGGGGGUCAUGACCCCGCCGGGGGCGGGGCAAGGUGGGGGAGGGGCCGGAGGAGGAGGAGGAGGUGGGGGGGGAGGGGCGAGCAGCAUCUAUGCCCCUCCCCCUCCCUAUAUCUCCUAUAUACCCCAGCUCCAUGUGCAGGCCCCCCAAAUGUACCCGUACCCCGUGUCCACCCCCCCCCAAGGCAAAUACCGGGGAGGCAAAGGUUCCCUCCCCCCGCCGCCGCCGCGCUCGGAGCAGCCUCACGCCCCUCCCCCCCCAGCCCCUCCCCCGUCGGCAUCCGCCCCUCCUCCCCCUCCCCUGGUGCCUGUGGCCGCCCCUCCCCCCCCGCCCCCUCCCCCCCAUUACUCCCAGUACAUCUCGUACGGACCCCCCCAGGCCUUCGGGGGGGGGGCAGCCGCUCGUGCAGCCCCUCCCACACUACCCCUCGCAGGCUGUGUUCGCGCCGCUGCUCCCCGGCAGCCCCCGCCUGCACCCCUCCCCCACCCUGGUGUCCUCCGCCGCCCCUCCCCCGCCCCAGUUCCCUCCCGGCGACCAAUCAGGAGCCCCACAGACCCUGUACGCCGCUGUCCAUCAGCCCUUCCCCCCCCCGACGCCGGCCGGGAACCCGCCGCCCCCACCCCCCAGCCAGGCCCACGUACAGACGGGUCUCGCGGCGGCCCCGCCCCCCCCCCACCCCGGGGCCGCCCAUCCCCCCCCCCAGGUGAUGCUGCUGCACCAGAGCCACGGGGGGGGGGGGGGGGGGGGCGGCGUCACCCCCGGGCCCUUCCCCUACAUCGGCCACCACCAAGUCCAGUCGCAGCAGCUCCAGUUCCACCCCCCGGGCAACUGACGCCGCCCCCCAAGUGGCUCCUUCUGCCCCCCAAGUGUGGGGCUGGAGCGUGGGGGGGAAUCUAUGGGGCAGAGCUGGAGCCGCCCCUCCCCUCCCCCCCCGCGGGGGCUUUUCUAUUAUUUAUAGUGGGGGGAGGGGGGAGGGGGGAACCUUAAAAAUGGCCCCAAAUGACCCAAAAAAGAGGAAAAAAACCCCAAAACCGAAUAAAAAAA
Molecule: long non-coding RNA, 1396 nt
Filed under: Strigops habroptila (Kakapo)
Lineage: Eukaryota; Metazoa; Chordata; Aves; Psittaciformes; Psittacidae
Description: lncRNA (ENSSHBG00005018417.1)
Source: RNAcentral